RNAcentral lists this unclassified non-coding RNA (328 nucleotides) under soil metagenome. Its description in RNAcentral is "partial contains 5.8S ribosomal RNA, internal transcribed spacer 2, and large subunit ribosomal RNA". The stretch from base 1 to 120 matches the Rfam family "5.8S ribosomal RNA", at positions 35 to 154 of the family's 154-position model. The record is from RNAcentral.
GAUGAAGAACGUAGCGAAAUGCGAUAAGUAGUGUGAAUUGCAGACUUUAGUGAAUCAUCGAAUCUUUGAACGCACAUUGCGCCCCUUGGUAUUCCAUUGGGCAUGCCUGUUCGAGCGUCAUUUAAACCUUCAAGCUCAGCUUGGUGUUGGGGCCUGCUGCACUGGCAGCCCUUAAAAUCAGUGGCGGCGCCAUCUGGCUCUAAGCGUAGUAAUUCUUCUCGCUAUGGAGUCCUGGUGGAUGCUUGCCAUCAACCCCCAAUUUUUCUAUGGUUGACCUCGGAUCAGGUAGGGAUACCCGCUGAACUUAAGCAUAUCAAUAAGCGGAGGA